Molecule: ribosomal RNA, 241 nt
Filed under: uncultured bacterium
Lineage: Bacteria
Description: partial 16S ribosomal RNA
Rfam family: Bacterial small subunit ribosomal RNA
Source: RNAcentral
CCGGGGGGUCGGGAGGUAAUUAGUCUGGGAAACGUAAGCCUGAUGGAGGGGGAGGACUACUGGAAACGGUAGCUAAUACCGCAUAACGUCGCAAGACCAAAGAGGGGGACCUUCGGGCCUCUUGCCAUCGGAUGUGCCCAGAUGGGAUUAGCUAGUAGGUGGGGUAACGGCUCACCUAGGCGACGAUCCCUAGCUGGUCUGAGAGGAUGACCAGCCACACUGGAACUGAGACACGGUCCAG